CCACAACACACACACACACACACACACACAAAAGAAGAAGAAGAAGAAGUACGUCUUCAGUUCCCUCACCGGAACGCAAAUUUCGGUCAGGAAUCAGUACUAAUGACGGUCAGUGAUAUUCACAAACUGAAAAAAGAUCGCUUCCAAGUUUGAAUCCCAUUGCUAAUAGCGAUGAUUUUUACAAAGACAGAUUUUCAGAGUUGGAAAUUUUGUCAGUAAUUUUUUUUUUUUUUUUUUAAAAGACACUGAAGAAUUUCCAUUUUACUGCAUCAAUUCGUCACCAGAAGGUCAGCAUGCAUGUGAGCGAGUGAACACAAAAACAAGAAUUCGUACUUUCAUAAAAUAAUCCAUUUCCAUUACAGGAGGACUAAUCAUUAUCAAAUGUAAGUCUGCAAUUAAACCAAUAUAGAUUCACAAUUAGAGAUUAUGUCUAAUAAUUUCAAAAAGAGAUGAAAGACUGAUUUUCAGCUGACUAAAUAUUUAAUAUAUAAAGUGCAUGCGCCUACCUCCAUAAUCCCUGUGUGAACUGCUGACACCAUCAGAGGCUGAAUUGGUAGAAAGAAAGCUGAAGCUGCCAUCAGUAACUUUGGGUUCUCAUUUCUAAGUGCCCUAGACAGACACUGCAAGAAGAAUUAAGUCCUGGUUUCUACCUAAGUGAACUGCAGAGCAAAUCAAAUAUAAAACCCCCAAUUUUUACAGACACUAUUAAAAAUAUUCUUAAUAAAUGGGAAAAUCAAAAGAAGAAAUUAACUAGGUUUUCCUUUGUGGCUCAAGUUUAUCACAUUCUAGAUUAUAAACAGAUUAUUACAUUGCUACAAAAAUCACCUUCUUAUUCUUUUUAUUAAUUCAGCCAAUCUCUCAUGGUCUAUUUGGUAGGAUGGAGUCCGAGUCUACAUGACUGGAGAGUAUUACAAAGAAAAAGAAGCUUAAAUCUUGUUCGUUAUACAAUUACCGUCUAUUUCCACUGCAGUCUAAGAGUGCGAACCAAACAUGCACUUAGCAUUUGCCGCACCCUCAGCAGGCUUUAAACAUAAUGUAAGAACAUUCCUUAAUCCCACGCAACAGGCGCAGAAAAUAAAUUCACGUUUUAUAUAUAGCUGCAUCUAUCAUGAAGCAUUUUUUCCAACAUUAAAGCCCAUAA
RNAcentral lists this long non-coding RNA (1141 nucleotides) under Olea europaea (common olive). RNAcentral describes it as "long non-coding RNA (OEUR_LNC013255)". The record is from RNAcentral. Lineage: Eukaryota; Viridiplantae; Streptophyta; Magnoliopsida; Lamiales; Oleaceae.